UGGGGGAUAUUGCACAAUGGGCGAAAGCCUGAUGCAGCGACGCCGCGUGGGGGAUGAAGGCCUUCGGGUUGUAAACUUCUUUUGCUCUGAACAAGGCAUGCCUUUGGGGUGUGUUGAGUGUAGGGGUUGAUUAGUGCCGGCUAACUACGUGCCAGCAGCCGCGGUAAUACGUAGGGCGCGAGCGUUGUCCGGAAUUAUUGGGCGUAAAGGGCUUGUAGGUGGCUGGUUGCGUCUGUCGUGAAAGCUCAUGGCUUAACUGUGGGUUUGCGGUGGGUACGGGCUGGCUUGAGUGCAGUAGGGGGGGCUGGAAUUCCUGGUGUAGCGGUGGAAUGCGCAGAUAUCAGGAGGAAUACCGGUGGCGAAGGCGGGUCUCUGGGCUGUUACUGACGCUGAGGAGCGAAAGCGUGGGGAGCGAACAGG
This 420-nucleotide ribosomal RNA is filed under the name Fusobacteriota bacterium. RNAcentral's name for it is "Fusobacteria bacterium partial 16S ribosomal RNA". It matches the Rfam family "Bacterial small subunit ribosomal RNA", at positions 355 to 776 of the family's 1533-position model. The record is from RNAcentral. Lineage: Bacteria; Fusobacteriati; Fusobacteriota.